UUACAAUGGCAAUACAUAUCACUUGAUUGUUAAAAACUGCAAUCAUUUUUGUGAGGAUAUUUGCUAUAAGCUAACCGGGAAACACAUACCGAAAUGGGUGAAUCGGCUUGCGAGAAUAGGAUAUUUAUGUAACUGCAUGCUUCCCAAUGCCCUCAAGACUUCAACUGUUCCACAAGAUUCAAACUUUCGAGGAUUCGACAGCGAGAAGAAGCGAUCACAAAGCACCUUCGGUUGCUUCUCAUCAAUCUCAAUGCAUCAACGGGAAGUUUCAAUGUCUUCAUUGUUUCUUCACUCCCAUUAUAAAGGCUGCCUGCCACCAUGGGAGCUGAAAGGUUCGAAAAGUCGGUCGAGGAAGGAACGCUGACAAACGCUCCUCUUGCUUCUUUGCUGCCAUUUUUGAACCAGGUGAGGAUAAUUCACCAUUUUGGCAGAGAAGAUUUGUAGGUGCAAUGUUUGUUCUUUAGUAGUUUUCUUUUAAGUUUGUGUUAAGUUUAGAGGUAUUCAUUUUGUAUGUUAUAGCACCACAGCAGUUCAUAGUAAUCCAACAGAUGCCUGUUUUUUUUUUACUGUAUAUUUACCCUUGUCUUUUUAUAAUAUAGUUUUUUGGGGGGUGAAAGAGUGAAUCUAUUUAUACAGUUCAGUUCAAAAUC
Momordica charantia (bitter melon) is the source of this 650-nucleotide non-coding RNA. Lineage: Eukaryota; Viridiplantae; Streptophyta; Magnoliopsida; Cucurbitales; Cucurbitaceae. The record is from RefSeq and is a predicted model, not a curated record.